GGGCCUCUCGCGUCAGGAUAUGCCUAGGUGGGAUUAGCUAGUUGGUGAGGUAAGGGCUCACCAAGGCGACGAUCCCUAGCUGGUCUGAGAGGAUGAUCAGCCACACUGGAACUGAGACACGGUCCAGACUCCUACGGGAGGCAGCAGUGGGGAAUAUUGCACAAUGGGCGCAAGCCUGAUGCAGCCAUGCCGCGUGUGUGAAGAAGGCCUUCGGGUUGUAAAGCACUUUCAGUCGUGAGGAAGGUAGUGUAGUUAAUAGCUGCAUUAUUUGACGUUAGCGACAGAAGAAGCACCGGCUAACUCCGUGCCAGCAGCCGCGGUAAUACGGAGGGUGCGAGCGUUAAUCGGAAUUACUGGGCGUAAAGCGCAUGCAGGUGGUUUGUUAAGUCAGAUGUGAAAGCCCGGGGCUCAACCUCGGAAUUGCAUUUGAAACUGGCAGACUAGAGUACUGUAGAGGGGGGUAGAAUUUCAGGUGUAGCGGUGAAAUGCGUAGAGAUCUGAAGGAAUACCGGUGGCGAAGGCGGCCCCCUGGACAGAUACUGACACUCAGAUGCGAAAGCGUGGGGAGCAAACAGGAUUAGAUACCCUGGUAGUCCACGCCGUAAACGAUGUCUACUUGGAGGUUGUGGCCUUGAGCCGUGGCUUUCGGAGCUAACGCGUUAAGUAGACCGCCUGGGGAGUACGGUCGCAAGAUUAAAACUCAAAUGAAUUGACGGGGGCCCGCACAAGCGGUGGAGCAUGUGGUUUAAUUCGAUGCAACGCGAAGAACCUUACCUACUCUUGACAUCCAGAGAACUUUCCAGAGAUGGAUUGGUGCCUUCGGGAACUCUGAGACAGGUGCUGCAUGGCUGUCGUCAGCUCGUGUUGUGAAAUGUUGGGUUAAGUCCCGCAACGAGCGCAACCCUUAUCCUUGUUUGCCAGCGAGUAAUGUCGGGAACUCCAGGGAGACUGCCGGUGAUAAACCGGAGGAAGGUGGGGACGACGUCAAGUCAUCAUGGCCCUUACGAGUAGGGCUACACACGUGCUACAAUGGCGCAUACAGAGGGCAGCCAACUUGCGAAAGUGAGCGAAUCCCAAAAAGUGCGUCGUAGUCCGGAUUGGAGUCUGCAACUCGACUCCAUGAAGUCGGAAUCGCUAGUAAUCGUGGAUCAGAAUGCCACGGUGAAUACGUUCCCGGGCCUUGUACACACCGCCCGUCACACCAUGGGAGUGGGCUGCAAAAGAAGUAGGUAGUUUAACCUUCGGGGGGACGCUUACCACUUUGUGGUUCAUGACUGGGGUGAAGUCGUAACAAGGUAGCGCUAGGGGAACCUGGCGCUGGAUCACCUCCUUAAACGAUGAU
Molecule: ribosomal RNA, 1342 nt
Filed under: Vibrio parahaemolyticus
Lineage: Bacteria; Pseudomonadati; Pseudomonadota; Gammaproteobacteria; Vibrionales; Vibrionaceae
Description: bacterial SSU rRNA
Rfam family: Bacterial small subunit ribosomal RNA
Source: RNAcentral